RNAcentral lists this ribosomal RNA (253 nucleotides) under uncultured bacterium. RNAcentral's name for it is "partial 16S ribosomal RNA". It matches the Rfam family "Bacterial small subunit ribosomal RNA", at positions 524 to 776 of the family's 1533-position model. The record is from RNAcentral.
UACGUAGGGUGCAAGCGUUAAUCGGAAUUACUGGGCGUAAAGCGUGCGCAGGCGGCUUUGCAAGACAGAUGUGAAAUCCCCGGGCUUAACCUGGGAACUGCAUUUGUGACUGCAAGGCUAGAAUCUGGCAGAGGGGGGUAGAAUUCCACGUGUAGCAGUGAAAUGCGUAGAUAUGUGGAGGAAUACCGAUGGCGAAGGCAGCCCCCUGGGCUAAGAUUGACGCUCAUGCACGAAAGCGUGGGGAGCAAACAGG